This is a long non-coding RNA of Saccostrea echinata, 395 nucleotides long. RefSeq lists it as uncharacterized. The transcript has 4 exons. The record is from RefSeq and is a predicted model, not a curated record. NCBI's taxonomy places the organism in Eukaryota, Metazoa, Mollusca, Bivalvia, Ostreida, Ostreidae.
UACCCCAUGUUGCUCAUUUGUGUACACGUUUCAGUCCAGGAAUGACCACACAGUGUACCUGGGAGUCCGUGAUGAGAAAACGUUUGGUUUAAUUGACACCAAUAGUACAAGUACCGAAUGGAAUACAAAAUUCUCUUUUCCGCGGUGUAAAAAUUCACCAAUACAUUUCCUGAAGCCAAGUAAAGAAUUGAUUGUCCUGUGCGACAAAUCUAGUGAAGGUGAAUUUAAUUUCACCGUUGUGGAAGAUGAGGUUGCAGCCGAUCCCGAUCUUAAAUAUGAUAUCUACGAGGGACUGGGACUGGCAGAAACGAACAUUGAUGGGAAAUCAACAUUUAAGAUUUCGAAUUUAUCACCAUUUACCAAUUGUAAAUGGACACAGGAUUAAAAUACCAAGA